Molecule: transfer RNA, 72 nt
Filed under: Bos taurus (domestic cattle)
Lineage: Eukaryota; Metazoa; Chordata; Mammalia; Artiodactyla; Bovidae
Also listed under: 1 other name
Rfam family: tRNA
About the family: Transfer RNA (tRNA) molecules are approximately 80 nucleotides in length. Their secondary structure includes four short double-helical elements and three loops (D, anti-codon, and T loops).
Source: Rfam by way of RNAcentral
UCCUUGGUAGCUCAGAGGUUAAAGCAUCUGCCUGCAAUGUGGGAGACCUGGGUUCGAUCCCUGGGUCAGGAA